UUGGAAGAACAGAAUUCAACUGAUACAACACUGGAGGGGUGAAAACAAGACAGAGAGAGAGAGAGAGAGAGAGAGAGAGAUGAGGGGCCCGCACAUGCCCUGCUCAUCUCAAAACUUCUCGAGAAGCAAAUCUAACUUGCAGGAACUUUGAGAAAGGCAGGAGAAGCAAAAAAGCAAAAUGAGAUUGUUUUCAUAACUUAAAGAGGCUGAAAAUGAUGAAACUGGGCUGAGAUGUGUUACAGGAGCCUACACAGCUAGAAGGAUAGAUUCGAGGUCAUGCUUUGAGCAAAAGCCAUUAAAAUACAUAAAUAACAUUGUAUCACACUUUUGCCUCUCAAGUUGAGACUGCCUCUAAAUUGACUAGCGUUACAAAUAUCCUAACAGAAAACUAUCCCUAAAACCUAGAAAGCCAUAUUAUGCUUUGGCAAUCAUCUGACCAUGUACAACAAAUGUAAUGAAAACGGUAAACCUGAACCAAGGCAAACCCAACAGUUUAAUUUAAAAACUUGAAGAUACUAAGUAUUCCCUUCAACUGGACAUUCAGAAACUUCACGUGGCUACAUUGUAUUUCCCCCCACGAGUUGCUUCAGGGUUGUGAAAUUCACUGGACUGUGGAGGGAGCCUUAAACCUUUGUGGGUGAUUGACGUCUAAAGUACCUGAGCUUUUCUGGUUCUGCUGACCCUCAGUCUCCUGGACCCUAGAAGAAGAAUCAGACCCAUCCUUCAGUCUCAUCUCUAGAAGCCCAGAAUAAAAUGAAAAAGAGAUGGGUUUUCGCCAUGUUGCCCAGGCUGGUCUCAAACUUGUGAGCUCAAGAAAUCCACCUGCCUUAGCCUCCCAAAGUGCUGGGAUUACAGGAUGAGCCACUGAGCCCAGCUGACUCCAAGCUUUUCUAAUGAGGUUUCUGGGCCACAGAGUGGAGACAGUCCCUAUCCUCAAAGGAUGCUACAGUGCAUUGUCAAAGACCAAUGCGUCAAAAUACUUAUGGAAGAAGGUGCCCAAAAGUUCGAAGACAGUUAUCUACACGGGAGGUGUAAGAAAAUCACCUUGGAAUACCCAUCUCGGAAGAACAGGUGUGAAUGCCCUUGAAUCACUUGGAGAGCUUCUCUUCGAUGUUAAAUUAUUGUAGUAACACCAAGCUCACCACCCAGAAUGAUGCAGUCAGCCUCCCCUGGAAGGAAUGAAGGUCGUAGUCUCCUCUCCAUAGAUGUGUCUCAUUUUCUAUUUAAAAAAAAAAAUGUGAAUUCAGGCACUGCGUUUGAAAAGUUUGGCAGCAAAACAAAUGUCCAGUCCAUGUCCUGGGUCCUAGGGGAGGGCAAAAAAUGGCCUCCUGGCCCAUGGUGUGGCACACACAUGCCCUCCUCUCCUGGCUGCCUUGUGCCCAGGCCCAGCCAGAGGCCUGAAAUGUGGCCAUGUAUGGCAACACGGACCGUGAAGCCCGGAGAUCUGCAGCAUCAAGCCCCAUGCAUGAGCGAAGAGAGCACUGACAGCAGAGGAUAGUCCUUCCUCUGAGAAACACGGUUCUUACAGGGUUGGGGACAAGAGGCAUUCUGCAGCUGGGAUCAGCCUCAGCUUGGCAGGAGAGGAUCAAGCACCCUAGGGGACUCAGUGUGGCAGGAAGAACUCAGAGCUCCAUCCUGUGGCUGCUCAGGGGCUGAAGCAGAGGCAUUGCCUUUGGACUGUCCAAUGCCCUGAGGAUUUUGGAUACGGUGAGUCUUUCUGCUAAAGAGGCAUGUGAGGUCCUUGGGCAAUUGUUUAAAAUAAGAACAGGUGACCAUAUUUGCACCCCAAUAUGAGGAAGAGUUUACAAAGGCUUCCAUUAUUUCCACAAAACUACAGAAACAGGCCUCGUGAUUCAGGAGACUGAAGGGACCUGGUGGACAAGAAUAAGAGCCAAGUGAAUCAAAGGUUUCUUUAAGGGAACAAACAUCAGGACAGAAUUUCAUGAAGUGGUAACACAACUAGAAAGGAGCACAGAAAAACCAGUGCAUCCCGCUUUUGUAUAAUGAAGACCCUGUAAGGGGUAACAAGACUCAGUCAAGGUCAAGUGAAGCAGAUGGGUACAAACGAGCGCAAUGCAAGCAAAUGAAAGUGAUGCCGUGACCUGACUGCCGUGGUUAGAGGACUUCUUAUGCUCAAGCACAAAGAACAGACCGUAAGGAGCAGCUGUGAUCCAGGGAACCGGAUAGGAAGAUGUUGCCUGGGCCAGAAUGACCCUACGAACAGAAAAACUGAGAUCUACAGAAGUUUAUGGAAAAGUACCCAUGAUCACACUGCUGAUAUGUGGCAAACCUGAGCUAUAGAUACCAGGCUUUACAGAAGCAGAAUCAGGUUGUGGUUGCAGAAAAAAUAAGAACAGCGAAAGACGCGUGGGGCAUCACAUCUCCAUCUUGCAGGAACUGGCAGCGAUGGUCCAGGCCAACGCCUCUCGAGGUGGCCUCCUCCUCCCAUGUGAGGGAAGGACUCACCAGGGGCUUCCCUGCUGGUAGGGCUCAGAGACGUUACUGUUAUUUAACUCCAAACCCAUCACCGGCGCCUGAGAUGCAGGCUUGUGUGCGGGGCAGAUGGCCAGCUGUCAGGGAGGACGUGAGCACUUCACUUUCAAGGACCGGUUCUGACCCUGGAGCACGCAGGGUGCGGCCUGGCGCUGAGUCCCGUGUUACUCACCUCAACGUGUUUUAACGCUGUUUCCUCCUUCCCAUUUGAUAACCCACCUCUUCGACAAACGACCUUCAAUAUUUGAGUGGUAACAGAAACGGAGCCACUGUGGCAAUAAAUUGCUCAUAAGCUUGGACAAAAAAAAAAAAAAAA
Molecule: long non-coding RNA, 2809 nt
Filed under: Homo sapiens (human)
Lineage: Eukaryota; Metazoa; Chordata; Mammalia; Primates; Hominidae
Description: uncharacterized LOC339298 (LOC339298)
Source: RNAcentral